RNAcentral lists this small nucleolar RNA (134 nucleotides) under Jaculus jaculus (lesser Egyptian jerboa). RNAcentral's name for it is "Small nucleolar RNA SNORA64/SNORA10 family (ENSJJAG00000007490.1)". It matches the Rfam family "Small nucleolar RNA SNORA64/SNORA10 family". From Rfam's summary of the family: This family belongs to the H/ACA class of small nucleolar RNAs (snoRNAs) which act as guides in the the modification of uridines to pseudouridines. This family includes the human snoRNAs U64 and ACA10 and mouse MBI-29. The record is from RNAcentral. Lineage: Eukaryota; Metazoa; Chordata; Mammalia; Rodentia; Dipodidae.
ACUCUCCCAUUCUGCAUGCUUACAUUAGGUUUCACCCCCACAUAUAACUUUCAUACUGAGAGAAAGAGGAAAUUGCUCCUCAGGAGUUGAUCCACCUCAUGGUGGCCUCUUUUGCCUAGAGGAGCACAACAGGU